CGCUCGCAAACAGCAGCGUACUAUCUCUGAGCUGCGAAUUGCCCUUAAGUGUCCUGCUGUCAGACGUAUUUUAACGUACCAUGCGCACUUGGCUCUUGUUCUGCGCGUCACAACUGCUGCUCAUGAUGGGACGCGGAGAGUCUCAGAAGAUUGUACAGGUCCAGGAGUAUUUCUCCGUGGGAAAAGGCGAAUCUGUGUCAAUCCCGUGCAUCCAAUAUGGGACUGAUAGUUACAUGUAUUGGUACAGACAGUUCCCUGGCAAGGGUCUCCAGUACAUCCUGCACGCUUUUCAGGAAACUGAACCGACAAGGUCGGACGAGAUCUCAGAUCGGUUCAACGCCAAAAAGACUGCCGGCGGCUCUUUCGAUCUGAAAAUAGAAAAGGUGCAGCCUGGUGAUACGGCUCGAUAUUUCUGUGCCUCCAGUGAUGCACAGUGCAACACUCCUGCUGGACUGCGCUGCAAAAACUCGUCCUGUAGCACGCAGAAACUGUCGCCUAACUAG
Molecule: non-coding RNA, 503 nt
Organism: Rhincodon typus (whale shark)
Lineage: Eukaryota; Metazoa; Chordata; Chondrichthyes; Orectolobiformes; Rhincodontidae
Source: the annotation of a RefSeq genome assembly